GGAAUUGUGCAUUUGUGUAAAUUGAAAAGUAUAGAUUUGUCAUUCAAAUUGCUGGUAAUGGUUAAUAUAUGCUUGAGAACGAGAACGCAACAUUGACAUUGUACUUUAUAUAAACCAGAGGUUUUCAUUGCUUCAUUUCACACCCUUGUCUAUUCAUGCCGCUUAAGCUUUUGAAUCUCACUUGGAUUAAAGUUCACGUUUCUGGUGCACUAGCUUAAAUGAUACAGUUUGUUGUAGAAUUACCCUUUUAAGUUUGAAUGCCAUUUCAACAUAACUGUAUAAUUUGCUAAGUUUUGGAAUAAAAGUCUUUUUUCCCCAAGGAAAGAAUAGGCUUGCAGCAUUGUAGAGAAACACAAAAUACUCAACCACUUGUAGGUAAUAGUCUUUAUAGGUCAAGGUGGAGGUCAGUGGAAAGGGCUGAACGACUGAAUGUUUACAAUAUUGGCUGUGGGAUAAAAAAAGGACUUUUGUAGAGUGUGUUGUUUAUCCCUUAACCUUCAUAAUGGCACAAAGUGGCUGAUCCUAUUUGUGAAAAGUAUCACUGGAUACAGAAUUGGCUGCUAUGCUUCAGUUCUGUAUAAACUACAGGUUCACAAAGAGAUUCUGAAAACUGGUAUUAAUGAAUUAAUGCUUUGUUUGUAGGAAACAGAGAGGAUCAUAAACCUGCCAAAAUAAUGUGAAUGUCAAUAUAUUUGCAUUCAUUCAUAUUUUUUCCCACUGUCUUUAAUAUUUAACAAAGCAUAUGUUUCUGGUAUGACACCCAAUCACUUUGUUUCCUACCCUACAUUUUGGCAGCAUAGAUGAAAUAAUUGCAUUCAAAUGCUAUUAUUUGAAGAUGCAAAGUUUAUAUUAAAAGCAUUUUAGUUGACUGGAUGUUCACUUUAAUAACCAUAAUGUUUCAUGGUUACUUUGUAAGAAACAUGUUUGCUAUGUAAGCAACAUUUACUUGUGCGGAAGAGGAUUAUUUUUAUUACUGUAUUUACUUGAAUCUAAUGCUCACCUUUUUUGGCCAAAUUAUGUUGCAAAAAUUAAGGUGCACAUUAGAUUCGAUGGCGCAUUAGACUUAAGUAAAUACGGUAGAUUUUUACAUUAAUAUAUAUUUUAAAGAUAUUAUUUUAAAAACUGAAUAGGCAAGAACAUGUAUACUCUUGUAAAGAGAAAAUAUUUGAAAUAAAAGCAAGUAGUUUUAGUUUAUACCAGUAUAUAAAUCAGUAGGGGAGGGGAUAGUUGAUAAAUUCUGUAAUUUAAAGUGGAUUGCUGUAAUCUGAGUUCCAUGGGGGUUCAGAUGUACAUAUGGCACUCAGUGCACCAGUUAUUUACUGUAAUGAAACGCUAUUCAGGAUUGCAGAAACUUCGUUGGAUCGAGACUCAUACUUAAAGCAGAUCUUUUGAAAUCAGUGGGGCUUGUCAUUACUAAAGUAAGAACUGUUGGUUUCAGUGAACCCAUUGUGUAUGAACGAGAGCCAGGGAGUUUGUGUGAUAUGCACAAUGCAGAGAAAACAAGCUAUGCUGAAAUCCCGCUAGAAAUAAAUGACACAUUAGAGAUAAAAAAAAUUAAGCACUAACAUAAGCUGUCUGAUUUAACUUUGCUUUUCCCAGGCGCUUAAAAAUUGUUCUGGUCGAAUACUCAGAGUUUAAAAGCAGAUCUUCCCAAUUUUCUGUGUGGUGGGGGAAUUGGAAUUGCUCCACCUUGCCAGCCCCCGAGCAUUGGAGCCAUAUUUGAUCUGUGUGCUCACCAUCCCUCAAAAUAACGAGUGCCAGUUUCAUAGACUGCUUUUAUGCGGGGCUCUCCUUAUGUGGCAACCCUUCUGAAUCAAAAUACUUUUGUACUGUAUAUAUACACACAGACCACAGAAGUAUGUCCUAUUGAUAUAAAUGAAAAUUACUUCCACAUAAUAGCCAAAAUCAAACACAGAUCUAACUUCAUGUAAGUCCACUAAUUGCAGUGGGUUUCAGUGCCCAAACUCUGUUGCAGGAAUUGGUUAAUCUAUUUAGAAUCCAGGUUGUCAUAUUCUGGCUUGAAUUCUGCAUUUGUAUGAUGGAAUAAUGGUAUACAAGUUUUAAAGACAAGAUACCAGUUAAGGUGGAAUCCAAUUAACAUGAAGACUUCUUGGUGCUUAAUUGUAGCUAGUUGCAACCAUAAUCUGAGUAUACCUUUGUAUUCUAGCUGCUAUGGUCAUACUGUACAACUGGAGUUCCUGUUGCCUUAAUAUCCUGGAAGCAUAUGCAUGGCCAUUGAUUGCAACAGAAUUAUGGACUAGAGAGAUACUUUAUUGUUCAAUGUUGUGUGUGUAUUAUAUUAUAUAUUCCUCCCCAUGCUCAAGAUUAGAAGAUCUGUACUGUACUGUAUCGUUUCUUAGAUCAAGAAUCAUGGUAAUAAAUUAGAUAUUUAUCUAGAUCCAUACCUAAAUGCUGAUGUGGUCUUGUCUUCACUUCAGUACUUUCAACUGAAUACACAUCUGAAUGUGCCUCUACAUCUGGUGUAAUCAGUCAUAAGCAACCAUGCAAACAUCUACAACUGAAGUGGGGUGAACAUCUUUCCCAGAACACCUGAUAGUUAGUAAUUGCUGAUCCUUGCAUUAUUGCAUCCGUUUCCAGCAAGGCAAACUUUUCAGGAUCAAGGCAACAGUUAACAAUUCAUUGCAAGUAGUGUUUGCAGUAACUUUUAACAAAUCCAGUGUGGCAAUCUAUGAAAAGAAAUUGAAAUGACUAAGAUGCUUCUCUAAUUUGUAUUCUGUAUUUGGUAGCCUUAAAAAAGUAUUAUUAUUUUUUACUUCUGGGAAAGGCAGCUAGAAUUUAUUUUGUCAUAGCUAAAGCUUUCCUGUUUAACGUUGAUUGUCCUGACAGACUAAAUAAGAGACAAUAAAGUAACAGUUCUGGUUUUUCUCUUUUUUGCCAUACAAUGCUGUUGGCGCUUCUAACUUAAUUGUAGUUAUGAGGAACGCUAAUAAUUUAAGUGUUAUACAGUAUGAAACAAAUAAUCGAUAGAUAAACUUUAUCUGAUGAAGCAUUGAAGCAUUCUGUGCACUUUAUUUGUUACAAUCUGUUUAAGAGAAAAAAUAGCUUCCCCAUACUAGGUUCCAUUAAACGCAGUUGGACUUAUUUCCAUGUAAAUAUACAUACGAAUGUGCUGCACAUGUCUUUAUUUUUUUAGGUAAUGUUAUAAUUUAAAUACCUGCUGUGAAAUCACUUUUGGAUUUUUUUCUUUCUUUCCUGAUGUUAAGGGAAAGUAGGCUCAUCUUUUUUUCUUUUCUUUUCUUUUUCCUUUUUUUUUUGCAGAUUUUUAUUGUUCUGUGUAAAUGUAAUUUGUUAAUCCUGUGAAAUUUGUCAUAGAUAAAUUUGCUUGGAUUAUCUUGUCAGUACCGUAUCUGCAUUCUUUUGUUCAUUGCUUAUUCAUAAUUUAACAGUCUGGCAGUGAGCCUUUUUGGGAUGCUCACAAAAGAUAUAUGACCUCUUCCAGCUGCUACUCUAACCUGCAGAAUGCACAGCAAGACAUUAGGAACGUGAGGAUUCCUCUACUGAUUAAAGUGCUCUUCAUUUAAACAGUCUGUUCAUAAGAAUCUCAGGAAUUUCUGUGAAUAGCUCUUUCUUACUUUCCUUUUUCCCAUCCCCUUACAAUUAGUUUUAACCUCCCAUCCCCUGAGUUAAAGAAAAAAAUAAUAAUUUCUAUACUAAUUUGGUAGUAGCCCUUUUUUCCCCUCCAAUGGGAGUUAGUGGAAUUAUAAAAAUUAAAACUAUUGACAAUGUAGUUUCUUAUAAAGUUAAGUCUAUUAACAGAACUCCCUUUGUUAUGAUUUUAAGCCUACAAAGACUUCCUUUGACAUCUAAUGUUGUGUUGUUGUUUUAUGCUGGUUUACAUAGAAGCUGCCUGAUUUAACCCUACUGUCACCCAGGCACUUGCGGAUUAUAAUGUGUGAAUGCCUCGUAGUGUACAAUACACAAAAAACAUAAAUAGAAUGUUGCUUAAGGUGUAACAAUACUCCAGUACUAGCUUACUUUACAUUUUUUCACAUUUUAACCCCCCCCCCCCCUUUAUCUGUAGAUCAUCUUCUGAGUAAUGGCUAGUUUUUACCUCCCCUUUGUGCUUGUCCAUGAUUCUAGUUCAAAAUAAUUCAUUGCUAAUCCAUGCAGUAUUGGUUCAUCUUCAUCACUUUUUUGUGAUUCAGGGCCUUCGAAGAGCAUCAUUCUACUAUGCCAUUUUCAGCUCUAGCUUCUUUCACAUUAAUCCUUAUAUUAAACAAAGCGUCCUAGCUAUUUUACAAAACGUGAUAUUUUACAAAAUUUUUAAAAUUAUAUUUCCUAGUCAUUUUUAUUUUUGCAUGAGCAACAUUCCCUGGAUUAGAAUUUGAGUAUGUAAAAGCCGUUGCUUUUCAGUCCAUGUGGUGCAAUCCUAAGAUUGUUUACGCAGAAGUAAAUCUCACUGAACUCAGUAUAUUUACUGAGUAAUUCUGCUUAGGAUUGCAGUCUUGGGUGGCUGCCUUGUACUCAAUUCCAGCCUAUUUGCCUGUGUACCUCAAUCUACUUGGAUGCGCAGGGGCUCUUCAGUUUCUCAGGCAAAGAGAUCUUCCACGUCUGCUAUGGAUCAUUCUAACAUGGGACCUUCUGUAUACAAGUUCUGUGUUUACUAGUGAGGUAUGGAUAUGUUCUUCACACCCUUCAGUAUAAAAUUACACAUUAAUCUUAACUUUUCUUGCAAGUCACCUCAAACCCUUAAUGGAGGGACGAGGUAUAAUUGGCCCCAAUUAGAAAGGGGUCUGUGAACAAGCAAGAAAGCAGCAGCAGCAGGAGGGAGGUUGGGAUUCCUCCCUUUAAGCAGGUGGGUUUGGGGUGGGUGGUUUUGCAGAGCACGUAGUCACUGACGACUUGUUGCUGCACUUGCCCCCCCCACCCCCCAUUUCCAACUGGGGAAGAGCAAUGUUGCGGUAGCCAGGUAGUCAGCUUUGAAGCUCAGUGGGUGACCUUGGGUCAGUCACUAUCUCUUAGCCUAACCACCUCAAAGGGCUGUUGUGAAGAUAAAAGUGAUGUAACUAUGUACAGUGUCUUGAGGGAAGGUGGAAUAUAAGAGCAAUGAAAGCAUACGGUCCAUGUCACCCUUUCACUUCCUGCUGUAGAGCUUUCUAGUAAAUGGAAAAGGAAAGGGAAAGGGUGUGUUUUAACAUACAGGCUGGGUUGAAUGGCCCCCACCCAGAGAAAGUCAGUUGCACAUAAGCUUAAUUUAAAUGGAAGUCAUUCUGUGGAUUAGGACCAUGUGUUUGGAUCAAGACGUUAUGUUGGAAUAGGAAAGAUUUGUAUUAAGUAACUGCUCUGCACAGGCGUUCCCAUCUUCCUGCAGUCCACUUGGUACCUUGUUGGUGGAGGAGUUAGAUUGCUGAGUGAUGGUGAUAAUAAAGUAUUCUUUCAUUCAAUGUAAGUACUGCUAGACUGAGAAAGAGAUCCAUCUUUAGAUUUCAUUUCUGAUAUUGCCAGUUUCUUAGACUGUCAUCAGAGAAGAUUUUUGAAGGCCUUGUUUUAGCAUUGAAUAGUUCUGUGUUCCUUUUUUAAAUAAUUACUUUCAUCUCAUUGUAGCAAUGUGUUUGAAGGUACAGGUCAAUAAGGAUGAUCGCAUUCUGAAUUUCAUGAUCUGUGUAGUGGAACAAAUUGAAAGCAAAGCCUGUAUCAAUCACUGUGAAGGGAGGGUUAAUUGUUACUGCUUCUCAAGCCUCUGGACAGAUAAACCAGUAAUGAAAUACUUAUUGCUCUGAUAUGAGGAUGCUAAAGGAGGAAACAAUUGGAAACAAGCAGUCUUCAAAGAUAACAAAAAGGCAUUUUUUAAAAGUAGAACUAAAGUGGGAUUGUGCAUAUUGUCAGUGUUAACUUUCAAAAGUAAUAUUAUUUUGAGUACUGCAGCUUCUAAUAAUUUUAGAAAUGGUUGUAUGUCUAAGAGAAAACAAACAUCUAGCCUUAAGAAAUCAUGAGUUUGAAAGAUCUUAUGCAAAUAAUUAGAAAUAUUUUACGUAGUCUGAAGUUUAUAUAACUGCUGUGCAUUAAGCAUUUCCAUUUGUUUUUAUUUUUUAUUUGUGGUAUGUUCCAUAUUUCUAGAAUCUUUAUAUAUAUAGAUUUUAACACAGCUGUAUUUACUAAAUCCAGUAUGUUUUGUCAUCGUAUGAAAGCUUUUUGUCUACUGUUGAUGAGCACAGUAAAGGAAUGUUUUAAAGGCAGAAAAAGUGAGGUGAAGAUGAGUUCAGCAAAAUAAAUUAUAGCAUUAUAGUAAAUAUUUAACCAUUUCCAGGGUGCCUACUUGAUAUUUAAACAUCUGUUAGUUACUUAUAUGUUGAAAUAUAUGCAAAAAUAUUUAGCCAAAUUGAAGUCUUAGGCCCAUGACAAUCAUCUCAACACAGUGGGUAGUUCUGAAAAUUAAUGAGAAUGAUAAUACUGUAAAGACUGUUCCAGAGUUUGCCCAAAUUCAUUAUCAAAGACUCUUGUUAAGAACAUCUCAAAGAAUUUUAACCAGGAAAAUAUAUUAAUGGUUCAAAACCAUUUCUCAAAACGCUGAUUUAGAAAAGUAUAAUGGGAUUAUAUAUGCAAGAGCUAUAGUUAGCAACACAAAUAACACAGGAGAAGGGCAUUAUAUGAGGACACAUUAUCCCAACAGAUAGUUUUUGACUUUGAUUUUCAGCUAUAGAUGUCAAGCUUCUCUUGUUGAUUUAUAUUUUGGAGGCUGUGGGUAGUAUGACCAUAGAUAAUUUACAGUGAUUUUUUUUUUUAAGUAGCUGGAGUCACUCAGGGCCCCAUCUUCACAGGCCAGGUGGGAAAAAACCUGCAGGACAGGGAGCAGGUGUUCCUGGAAUCACAGCCAAGAGCUGAGGCACCCAAGCUCUCACCCAUUCCAAAUCCUGCUGAAUAGUGUGGCUCAAGGACAAUUCAAUCUGCUGAACCAAAUCAUUCUCCUUAAGGUGUAAAAGCAAGAUGUUGGACACUAGUGUGGAAAGCAACUAGCAAAGGGUAGACAACAACUCACAUCAUGCCACUUUUGCCCACCCAGUGAAGAGAUGCCCAUCUACUCAUUUGCAGCUAUGGUCCCACACUGGAGCAACUUGCCCUCCAUUGUGCCCAGAAUAGGGUAGAAUGACCACAGAUGUGUAUCCAAAUCGAGCGAGGCAAACCUGCCAAGAAGGAAAAAGCAAUAAACAUCAGAUAGGUAACAAACAGCAAUACCUCUCCACUGAACUAAUUCAAAGGCAGUAGUAGUUUUUAAAGGCAGCAGAGCACCAUCUGCCUAUUGGUGUAAUACUUGCAUCAUCCACACUCACAAGGGCCACUUGCUUUUUCCCUUCUCAAAUGCUUCUUCAACCAGGGAUACUUGUGUUAAAGCAAUCUUCAUAUGUAUCACUUCUGUUGGAUGAAUAACUUGGGUGUAAACUUGAUCUGCAUCCAAAUGCACCAGGAAGCGUGGAAGCCUACAGCAUUAUUUUUAAUAGGCUAUAUAUUUCAGAUGUGUGGUACACUGAAAUAAAUGGUUGUAGGCAGCAUUUGCACUUGAUUACAUGUUUACAUAUACAUUAAACUUUCUAAAACCUCCUGUUCCUGUGAUUAUUACAUACACAUAUAUUUAUUUUGGAUCGAUGGAACUGCUGGAAGGAGUCCUCUAAACAGAAAGCGGCUGAGUGGUCCCCCUGUCGUUGGGUAGAGGUCCAGGUAUGCCCAAAUUCAUUUCAUUUUCCACCCUGGGCCCAUUUUGGCAUAUGGGACACCUUUACUCAUAUAGAGCAUCCGGGGUGUGGGGGGGUGUGGAGAGAACCCUCAGGCUACCACAAUCUUCAGUUGACUAGGAAGUCCAUUUCAGCCAAGCCACAUCUACUUACACCUGACACCCUAUAUGAUGUCAGGUGGGACAGGUUGAGACUGAAAGUAAGACUCAUACUCCUGUCUCAUUCUUUAUAUCACACACACACACACACACACAAAAUCUCUACAAAGAAAGGUAAAAUAAUUAACAUUAUAAAUAAGUGAGAGUGAUAGAGAGCUGUGUGUCAUAUAUGGAAUGAGAUCAGAGUACCUGGCUUGGUUUCAGCUGCACACUUUUUACACAGAACCUGUGUCUUAUUGUACCAAAGUUAUGAGCAAAUUCAUGUUAACUAAAUUAGUUCAGUACAGCAGUUGAUGUAAUCCAUACCACAUGAAAAUGUAAUGAGUACUUUGACAUUUUUUGUUAAUUUAUCCCUUGUGGGGGAAGGAGAGUCUGGCACCUCCUAUAAUAUGCCUGGUUUGGAGAUGAAUGCAAUGCCUUUGUGUACUAUUGUGAAGUCCCUGUAGUAAUUUUCACGAGUGCUAGAAGUUAGUGAUCACUGUACAUGUUUCUGAACCAGAGCCUAACCUUCAGAUUGGACACUUUUGCUGUGUAGAAUAUUACUAAUACAUACUCCAGCCACAGGCCAGCUAACAUGGAGUCAAGUGGAGCAUGAUCCAGAGAUACUGCUCAGUAAUCAUUUCACUGACACUUAUUAGAAAUUCUGAGUGAGUAAGUCAUUAAAACACACAGACACAAUCUAGUCGCUCAUGAGCAAUACAGAUUUUAUGUUGGCACUUUUGUAGAUGAGAUAGUUUUUAAUGAGACUCUGGACAAUAUAUUUGUAGAUUUACUUGCAGGUUAUAGACAUGUUCACAAGGAGUGGAAGUGGACAGAGAAGAUAGGUGGUGAUGAGAUGAUGUGGAGAAGGAGUGACUCAAGGUGAGGAUGGGUGAAUAAGAACUGCAGAGAGGAAGAUGGGAAUCUCAGCUUGACAUUUAUGCUUGAAGAGCUUGCUUUACUUCUUUCCCCCUUCCAUAGACCUAGCGCACAGAGUUUGAUCACCAUAGAAAACCUGAGACCAAACCAUAUG
Non-coding RNA from Podarcis lilfordi (Lilford's wall lizard), 8858 nucleotides. The record is from the annotation of a GenBank genome assembly. Lineage: Eukaryota; Metazoa; Chordata; Lepidosauria; Squamata; Lacertidae.